UCGAGCGGUAAGGCCCUUCGGGGUACACGAGCGGCGAACGGGUGAGUAACACGUGAGCAACCUGCCCCUGACUCUGGGAUAAGCGGUGGAAACGCCGUCUAAUACCGGAUACGACCCGCCACCUCAUGGUGGAGGGUGGAAAGUUUUUCGGUCAGGGAUGGGCUCGCGGCCUAUCAGCUUGUUGGUGGGGUAACGGCCUACCAAGGCGAUUACGGGUAGCCGGCCUGAGAGGGCGACCGGCCACACUGGGACUGAGACACGGCCCAGACUCCUGCGGGAGGCAGCAGUGGGGAAUAUUGCGCAAUGGGCGAAAGCCUGACGCAGCGACGCCGCGUGGGGGAUGACGGCCUUCGGGUUGUAAACCUCUUUUACCACCAACGCAGGCUUCCAGUUCUCUGGAGGUUGACGGUAGGUGGGGAAUAAGGACCGGCUAACUACGUGCCAGCAGCCGCGGUAAUACGUAGGGUCCGAGCGUUGUCCGGAAUUAUUGGGCGUAAAGAGCUCGUAGGCGGCGUGUCGCGUCUGCUGUGAAAGACCGGGGCUUAACUCCGGUUCUGCAGUGGAUACGGGCAUGCUAGAGGUAGGUAGGGGAGACUGGAAUUCCUGGUGUAGCGGUGAAAUGCGCAGAUAUCAGGAGGAACACCGGUGGCGAAGGCGGGUCUCUGGGCCUUACCUGACGCUGAGGAGCGAAAGCAUGGGGAGCGAACAGGAUUAGAUACCCUGGUAGUCCAUGCCGUAAACGUUGGGCGCUAGGUGUGGGGACUUUCCACGGUUUCCGCGCCGUAGCUAACGCAUUAAGCGCCCCGCCUGGGGAGUACGGCCGCAAGGCUAAAACUCAAAGGAA
This 844-nucleotide ribosomal RNA is filed under the name Nocardiopsis sp. Its description in RNAcentral is "bacterial SSU rRNA". It matches the Rfam family "Bacterial small subunit ribosomal RNA", at positions 62 to 909 of the family's 1533-position model. The record is from RNAcentral. Lineage: Bacteria; Bacillati; Actinomycetota; Actinomycetes; Streptosporangiales; Nocardiopsidaceae.